ACAAGACGGUGGAGCAUGUGGUUUAAUUCGUAAGCAACGCGAAGAACCUUUACCAGGUCUUGACAUCCCGAUGCUAUUCUAGAGAUAGAAAGUUACUUCGGUACAUCGGUGACAGGUGGUGCAUGGUUGUCGUCAGCUCGUGUCGUGAGAUGUUGGGUUAAGUCCCGCAACGAGCGCAACCCUACGUUUAGUUGCUAACAGGUGAAGCUGAGCACUCUAGACGAACUGCCGUUGACAAAACGGAGGAAGGUGGGGAUGACGUCAAAUCAUCAUGCCCCUUAUGACCUGGGCUACACACGUGCUACAAUGGUUGGUACAACGAGUUGCGAGUCGGUGACGGCGAGCUAAUCUCUUAAAGCCAAUCUCAGUUCGGAUUGUAGGCUGCAACUCGCCUACAUGAAGUCGGAAUCGCUAGUAAUCGCGGAUCAGCACGCCGCGGUGAAUACGUUCCCGGGCCUU
Molecule: ribosomal RNA, 459 nt
Filed under: uncultured Streptococcus sp.
Lineage: Bacteria; Bacillati; Bacillota; Bacilli; Lactobacillales; Streptococcaceae
Description: bacterial SSU rRNA
Rfam family: Bacterial small subunit ribosomal RNA
Source: RNAcentral